CCUACGGGAGGCUGCAGUGAGGAAUAUUGGUCAAUGGACGAGAGUCUGAACCAGCCAAGUAGCGUGAAGGAUGACUGCCCUAUGGGUUGUAAACUUCUUUUAUAUGGGAAUAAAAUGUUCCACGUGUGGGAUUUUGUAUGUACCAUAUGAAUAAGGAUCGGCUAACUCCUUGCCAGCAGCCGCGGUAAUACGGAGGAUCCGAGCGUUAUCCGGAUUUAUUGGGUUUAAAGGGAGCGUAGGUGGAUUGUUAAGUCAGUUGUGAAAGUUUGCGGCUCAACCGUAAAAUUGCAGUUGAAACUGGCAGUCUUGAGUACAGUAGAGGUGGGCGGAAUUCGUGGUGUAGCGGUGAAAGGCUUAGAUAUCACGAAGAACUCCGAUUGCGAAGGCAGCUCACUGGACUGCAACUGACACUGAGGCUCGAAAGUGUGGGUAUCAAACAGGAUUAGAUACCCUGGUAGUC
RNAcentral lists this ribosomal RNA (460 nucleotides) under uncultured bacterium. RNAcentral's name for it is "partial 16S ribosomal RNA". It matches the Rfam family "Bacterial small subunit ribosomal RNA", at positions 338 to 795 of the family's 1533-position model. The record is from RNAcentral.